UGAAUGCUAGGCUAGCCACACUUUGGAAUAUGUUCAGUUUGAAGUUUUGUGGAAGGGAUUAACGCUGAUUAUCACUUUUAGAAAAUUAUAACUAAAUUUUUUAUGGCCUCCAAUGUAUAUCGUAAGCACUCUAUCUUCUUUUAUGGGUUAUAUGAUAGUGUAUAGAAUUUCUUAGAUAUUCACAAAACGUAUAUCAUGUAAAAAAAAAAUCUUUUACCCAAAAAAAAAAGUAAAACAAAGUUAAUAAUUUAAAUAUCUUUUAAAAUAAAUUGACAUGUUCAUGACUAAUGAUAGAC
This 296-nucleotide long non-coding RNA is filed under the name Capsella rubella. RNAcentral's name for it is "long non-coding RNA (CRUB_LNC003733)". Lineage: Eukaryota; Viridiplantae; Streptophyta; Magnoliopsida; Brassicales; Brassicaceae. The record is from RNAcentral.